Molecule: transfer RNA, 79 nt
Filed under: Scleroderma citrinum Foug A
Lineage: Eukaryota; Fungi; Basidiomycota; Agaricomycetes; Boletales; Sclerodermataceae
Rfam family: tRNA
About the family: Transfer RNA (tRNA) molecules are approximately 80 nucleotides in length. Their secondary structure includes four short double-helical elements and three loops (D, anti-codon, and T loops). Further hydrogen bonds mediate the characteristic L-shaped molecular structure. tRNAs have two regions of fundamental functional importance: the anti-codon, which is responsible for specific mRNA codon recognition, and the 3' end, to which the tRNAs corresponding amino acid is attached (by aminoacyl-tRNA synthetases). tRNAs cope with the degeneracy of the genetic code in two manners: having more than one tRNA (with a specific anti-codon) for a particular amino acid; and 'wobble' base-pairing, i.e. permitting non-standard base-pairing at the 3rd anti-codon position.
Source: Rfam by way of RNAcentral
GAGCCCAUGGCGCAGUGGUAGCGCGUGUGAUUCCAGUUCGGUAUCCACAAGGUCAUCCGUUCAAAUCGGGUUGGGCUCA